Molecule: long non-coding RNA, 248 nt
Organism: Homo sapiens (human)
Lineage: Eukaryota; Metazoa; Chordata; Mammalia; Primates; Hominidae
Source: Ensembl
CCAGCAGUUUCCUCUGCCUGGAACACUUUCCGCAGCGCUGGAUUACAACUGCUGGUCUCCCUGCCUGCCUUCCCUGCUUCCCAGAGCACGAAGAAGCUUGCCUCCGCAACCCACUAUUUGUGUGACCUUGGUCCAGGAACUGGACUGGGCUCUCCUCCUGAAAGUGGGUAAAUAAUGUCACCGACCUAAUGAGGCUGUUGAGGCAUGGAAUCUGAUCAGGCAGAUAAAGUGCCCCUGGCAAACCUCAA